This 1511-nucleotide long non-coding RNA is filed under the name Equus caballus (horse). Its description in RNAcentral is "lncRNA (ENSECAG00000056002.1)". Lineage: Eukaryota; Metazoa; Chordata; Mammalia; Perissodactyla; Equidae. The record is from RNAcentral.
CCCGACUCUUGAUGCCUCUCCUAAUAGACACAUAAUUUGCUUGAAUUAUGGUGAUAAUGACUAGCAUAUAUUGGACUUGCCGUGUGCGGGUGCUGUGUAGGCUUUACAUAGAUUGACUCCUCUCACCUCCCCACUCCUCUGUGAGGAGGGCACCAUCAUCUCCUUGAUUCGGAUGGAGACAGACAGGCACUGAGGGUUAAGUCAGUUGCACAUGGGGUGCAGUCGGGACUCUCCCCGGGAUUCCUACAGAAGAGGCUACAUCUGAACCACGACAGCACCUGCCCUGGACCACGCACACGUUACAUCAUCUACAGCGUAUGCCUUUCUUUAUGCCGCAGCCUCCAGCCCCUGCAGGGUGACUGAGCAGAGCAGAUGCUGCCACUCCCUCAGGUUCCCACAGUCAGCCUUGCUCUGGUUCACAUCCUGCCUCGCUGUGGCUGCUCCAUCUCCCCGUGGCUCCUCCUUCCCCUCCUGCCUGUCUGGGAGGACGUCCCAUUUCAGUUCCGGCUCCUUCGACUCAUCCAUCACUGUGUCUCUGAAGCCACAGCUCUGUUCUGGGGUCCUGGCAGAUGACAGUGGUGACAAAGAGGAAGCUCCUAGGCCCUAGGGAUGGGGCCCUCCUUCAGAGUCGCCCUCCUUGCCGAGAAGUGAUGCCUGGCCCUGGGAAAUGAACAGUGGCCUGGCCUGGUCAGGAAAGGCUGCAGCUCGUGGAACAGCCUGCAGACAAGCUACCCGGCUCCUGGUGGUCAUUUCCACAGCAGGAAGCUGCCUGGGAGCCCUAAAGCCAGUGGGUCUUCAGGUCCUUCAAGAUUUGCUGCCUCCUCACCCAGAACUGUGUGGUCCUGUGGCCUUUAGGCAACAGUCAAUGGAACUUUGGGGCAAUGAAGAAAAACAGGUGGUGCCCACUGUGGAACAGAGUGGGUCUACAAGAAAAGACAGCAGCUGGAGAAGGGAUAGUUGUGAACAAGAAGUGGUGGAGACUGGGAGAGAAAACGGAGGAUGAGGUUGAAGACACAGGAGAGAGAGAAAAAGUAGUAGAGAAACAGCCCUGAGAAGCAGGGACCGGAACCCAUGACAUCAAGGAAGGGCUCACCUUGCCCAGGAGGAAGGCCCUCUCUUCCUUGGCCCCUGUCUCAGAAAUUGGCACCACUAAUCUGAAUCCGCCCUCAUUUCCAGGCUUCCACGUAGGGCAUCCUAUCUGGGCGAACCAUUUUUCAGAUUUUUUCACUAUUGUCUGCCCUCUGCGCCUUAGUAAAAUAUGCCUGUCUUGUGUCCUAGUCCCUAAAGACUUUAUCUGCUUUGCUUCUCAUGAUGCCAACCAGCUAAAAAACAUAAUACCCUAGGACACACUGUCCAACACGGUAGCCACUGGCUGCACGUGGCUACUGAGCACUUGAAAUGUGGCUGGUCUGAGUUGAGGUGUGCCAUAAAUGCUUAAUGCACACAGAUUGUGAAGGUUUAGUGUGAAAAAAAUGUAAAAUAUCUCAAUAAUAUAUGGAUUAGUGUUGAAG